Non-coding RNA from Phrynosoma platyrhinos (Desert horned lizard), 72 nucleotides. NCBI's taxonomy places the organism in Eukaryota, Metazoa, Chordata, Lepidosauria, Squamata, Phrynosomatidae. The record is from the annotation of a GenBank genome assembly.
AUCCAGAGUGGUGUAGUGGUUUGAGCACUGGACUGGGCCUCUGGAGACCAGGGUUCAAAUCCCAGCUGGCUG